UUGUAUAGGAAAUAAAACAGGGUACUAUUAUUUUUUUAAGUAAUCUCUACUUAAAUCUCUACUUAAAUCUCACCCAAUGUGGGUGAGAUAGAGAGUUACAUGUUCUAUUGACUGAGCCAGCCAGGUGCCUCAAACAGGGUACUGAUUUUAAAAAGUGCUAGGAGGGAGGUUGCCAAAAAAGACUUCUCAGAGGAGGGCAGGUUUGAGUUGAAACCCUGACAAGAAGAAGCUGCACAUGUGAAUAUCUGAGAGACGAAUGUCCCAAGCAGAGGAAACAAGUGCCAAGGCCCUGGGGCAGGAAGAAACUUGGUAAAUUCAAGGAAUAGAAGAAAGACUAAUGUGGCAUGAAUCCAUCAAGUGGUUGGAGAAUGGACAAAGUCAAGGAGGAAGAGUAGGAAAUGACCAGAUCACUUAGGACCUUGUAGCUUAUGUUCAGAGUUUGGAAUUUAUCCUAAAAUUAAAGAGAAGUCACUGGAAGAUUUUAAGUAGGAAGAGGUCUCAUAAAGACCAAUCUGGCUACAGUGUUGGAAAAUGGGUUGAAGAGGGAAAGAGUAGUUAGGGGGUCAGUGUAGUAGUUCAGAUAAGAGAUAAACAGGAACCAAGAUGGAGCAGUGAAGAUGAAGAGAAAUAGUUUGAUUUGGUAUGUGUUUUGGAGGGAGAAGUCUACAAGGGCUUAGGAUGAAUGGAUGGAUGUAGGAUAUGAAGGAAAGAUAAGCAUUAUGGAUAAAUUCUAGGCAUUUGGCUUGAUAUGGUGGUACUGUUUAGAUAAAACUAAAUCCUAGGACAGAAGCAGUCUAAUGCAAUGGCAAUUAAGAGCCUGUUUUGUCAUGGAUAGUGUAGUAAUUAUAUAAAAAUAUAAUGUGAUGCCACUGUCAUAAAAAAAUGCAUAUUAGACUUCUAAAUGGAGGUGUUAAGUUGCAGUUAAGACAAUUAAGUCAGCCACAGUUCUUGAGCACCCAUUCGUGCAUUGUACUAAGAGAGACCAAAGAGAACAACACAGUACCUCUGCCCUCAGCAGCUUCCUGUCUACUGUGAGAUUCAGAUAACUAGGUAAGUUGACUUGGGAAGUUAACAUGGUAUAUUCAUGGAUUUAACUACUGGUAAGCAGCCCUGAAAUCCUCAUGUUUUAUAGGAAUGGACCAGAGAGGAAACAUCUCCUUUCCAGGGCUGCUUUAUAGCUAUGGCUGACUUUGGGUCCCAGGACUGCAGGCCUGAGCUGCAGUAGGGAGUCCCUCAUGUUGGCUUUGCCAAGGAGCCACCUGCUUCAGAUCUCAUCCGUAUCUUGGCAGUGUUUCUGGUUUUAAGGUUUCCACUGAGCUCAGAUGGAUUUCUAUCUAAGGUCCAGGCAGUUAUUUGUGUUAUCCCUGUGGUGCAAUCAAGGAGAAGCGGGAAAGAGAGAAUGCCCUUGAAACUGACAAACAAGUUCUGAGAAGCUCGGAGAGCAGAGCAGAGUUGAGCAGAUUUUCACAGGUUGAGAUGGUCAGGCACCAUCGUGGUGGACGUAAAUGCUCAACCAAACUCCAGCUGAAGGAGAGUAGGAUGUAUUGCGGUGAUGGUAUAGUCUUUGUCAAAUUAGAAGAAAACAUUACUACAAAUAUAAUCCUAGGGCAAAACUGUUAGACUUAAAAAACCCUUGUUUGAUUCAGCUCUUUGCAAAAUAUUAAGGUGACUUUUAAAAUUAUCCUUGUAUCAGAGAAGUUGUAAGGAGAGAAUUGGUGAGACCGGACAUAAUCAAGAUGAAGGUCUUCGGGAAGGGCAUUGGCCAGCUGUCACUUACACUGCAGAGUUCAAGGCCUAUGGUUUUGGAAAGCCCAGAAACAACUGCAGUUGUUUGUUUUCGAAUACCCUAGUCAACUUGCUCAAGGACGGAUUACUUAAACUAUUUGUUAUUUUCUAACUAAUCAAUUUAUUUGGAAAGUGUAAAGUAUGAUUCAUCUUGUCCACUGCAGUUACCUUCUGUCCUGUCUCUCCCCUCUCCUAUAAAUCUUGUCUUUGCCUUUGUCUGAUGACCACAGACUAUGGAUGGUGUUUCCCUCGUAUGAAUGAAUUGCAUGCAGAUAACUACGUCUCUAAAUUUUUCCUUGGCACAUAUCAUGUUCCAAGGGCCUCAUGAAACAAGUUGGAAAGUGGUGCUUCAUCCCCUGUUCUCUGUAGAGUGUGUAUAAGAGAGGGAAUAGGAAGACCUGAGAAGGAGGAGCAAGUUGGGGGAACAGCAGGUCAGCUCUUUGGAAGAAGUAAUGGAAAAUUGGUCCAUAGCCACUUUGUGAGAAAGAAGUCACAUUAGAGGUUGAGAGUCGACUACCACAUGGAAGAGACAAGUGAGAUCAUCUACACUACAAGAUAGUAAAUAAGACAGUGUCCCUUCUCUCGGGGCCACAGUGGGACCUUCGUGUCUUUAUGCCAAAA
Molecule: long non-coding RNA, 2406 nt
Organism: Acinonyx jubatus (cheetah)
Lineage: Eukaryota; Metazoa; Chordata; Mammalia; Carnivora; Felidae
Exons: 4
Source: RefSeq, a predicted model, not a curated record